AGCGAACGCUGGCGGCGUGCUUAACACAUGCAAGUCGAACGUGAAAGGGGGCAACCCUGAGUAAAGUGGCGUACGGGUGAGUAAUGCGUAGACAAUCUACCUGACAGUUUGGAAUAACCUGCCGAAAGGCGGGCUAAUACUGGAUAGAGCGACGGAACCUGUAAGGGGUUUUUCGGGAAAGGGAGGGAGCAAUCCCCCUCGCUGUCAGAUGAGUUUACGUCCCAUCAGCUAGUUGGCGGGUAACGGCCCACCAAGGCAAUGACGGGUAGCUGGUCUGAGAGGAUGAUCAGCCACACUGGAACUGAAACACGGUCCAGACUCCUACGGGAGGCAG
RNAcentral lists this ribosomal RNA (334 nucleotides) under uncultured Pseudomonadota bacterium. RNAcentral describes it as "bacterial SSU rRNA". It matches the Rfam family "Bacterial small subunit ribosomal RNA", at positions 29 to 351 of the family's 1533-position model. Lineage: Bacteria; Pseudomonadati; Pseudomonadota. The record is from RNAcentral.